GUGGUGAAAUCUGCUUCCUAGAUUCCUCCUUUUCUCACUCUCUCUGGAAAUCCUACCUAUCCUCUCUUGCCUAACUAUUGGCCAUUCAACCCUUUAUUAAACCAAUCAGAAAACCAGGCCUGGGCUUCCAAGCACACCAGCAUGGGUGUGCACAGCGGCACUCGUGCAACACUAUCACGUGUUCUCAGGAAAGUGACUUGUAAUGCAGAAGGAACAUCGCCAAGACAUGGGGGACCGACCCCAAAGCCAGACAAACAAUGACCGACCAACUGAACACAAAGUUUGCCUGUUAAUGGAACAUCUGGAUAAUUUGAACUUAGGUAAUUAGCAACACAUCUCGAGGAUCUUAUGUUCACUGAAGAAUCUGUAAUGUGGGGAUAAGAAUGGGUUUUAGAAGCCAGAAGAAACCUGUUUACCUUACACACUGGGGUGGAUUCUUCCCUUGUGUCUCUGGCUAUAUCUCCAGCACCACCCUGUCGUGCCAUCAUUUUUGAUGCCAUGAUGAUAAUGGACUGAGAUUCUGAAACUGUAAGCCACCCAAUUGAAUGCUUUCUUUUGUAAGAUUUGCCAUGGUUAUAGUGUCUCUUCACAGCAAUAGAAUGGUGACUAAGACAGACCACAAAAGAUUACUGUAUACUGACUAAAAGAAGGAACUCACGAAUAGUGUUAUUAUUUUAAUAAGAGUGAGGAGAUGAUGGAGAAUGUUCUUCUGUGUAUAGGUUUGUCUUAUUGGUUGAUGAAUAAAACACUAAUUGGCCAGGCAGGAUGAUAGGUAGGACUAGGAGACAAGGAGGAUUCUGGGAAGUAUAGGCAGAGAGGAGUCAUCAUGUGAUCCCAGGAAGUGACUUAGCUGGGCAGAAACUGCCACUAGCUAACCAUAGAGGUCUGGAGGUCUGUACAUACAGGCAGGAAGUGACGUAGCUGGUAAGAAUCAAGAUAUAAGCACAGACAAACAGGAAAUCGCUCUCUUCUCUGUGGAGAUACUGAGCAGUCACGAUGUAGAAGGCAAAGGAGUUGCAGGUCCACCAUUCCCUGGUAAUAUAAGACCACAUGGAAAUACACAAAUUAGUAGUUAUGGAUUACUAAUUUAAGAGAGAGACGGCAAAUAAGAAACCCAAGCCAACAGCCAACAACUUUAUAACUAAUUUAGCGUCCAUGUAUUUUGGGGGGCAGAGAAGGGCAGCAGGACCAGCUGGGCCAAGAGUCUCACAUUACAAGGAGAGAGGAAAUUAAAAACAUUGUCUUACAACUAUCUUAGUGAUAAUUCAGGUGAGAUCAUGACAUGACAAGUUGUUUAGGGGUGUAACAAUUAGACGGUCUCAAAGCAUUUCUCUCUAAAUUUACUUGUUAAUCACAAAGAGAAGGGUAUGAUCAAUGAGGAUAUCAAGUGGACACUACUGAUUGAUUUAGUUAGGGUCCCCAUGAGAAGUGGACAUCAUGUACUUUCUGAUGUGACAAUGAAGGGCCCAGACCCUCACAAUGCCCCUGCCUUUGGCAGCCAUGACAGGCUGCAGAAAAGACCCAGCAAGACAUAGGCCCCUGACUGUAGGGGAAGCUGUAGCCACGCCUUCUUAGGGGCUGGCUACAGGGGUACCUGAGCAGGCUUGUGAGGGCGUGGUCAGAGUGAGUAGGGGGUCUGCAUUUCGGUUUCGGUUUCUCUUUGCUUCUUGCUGUACAGACUACCACUGGCUGGCUGGUUCGCUCUGUAAGUAAGGCUUUUCCCUAUUAAAUACCCUUAUAUUUCUACCUGACUCCAUAUUGGUAAUUUCCUACUAUAUCUGGUUGUCAGAAGCGGGAUAUUGGAAACCCACACCCCAUUUGGGACAGGCUGUGGGUUCCAUCGGGCCCGCCGCCUAGGCCCGGAAAGCACCC
This 1872-nucleotide long non-coding RNA is filed under the name Cricetulus griseus (Chinese hamster). RNAcentral describes it as "lncRNA (ENSCGRG00015042187.1)". Lineage: Eukaryota; Metazoa; Chordata; Mammalia; Rodentia; Cricetidae. The record is from RNAcentral.